Molecule: ribosomal RNA, 455 nt
Filed under: uncultured microorganism
Description: bacterial SSU rRNA
Rfam family: Bacterial small subunit ribosomal RNA
Source: RNAcentral
GAGUUUGAUCAUGGCUCAGGAUGAACGCUGGCGGCGUGCUUAACACAUGCAAGUCGAACGGAGUACCCUUGGAGGAGUUUUCGGACAACUGAUAGGACUACUUAGUGGCGGACGGGUGAGUAACGCGUGAGUAACCUGCCUUGGAGUGGGGAAUAACAGCUGGAAACAGCUGCUAAUACCGCAUGAUGCAGUUGGGUCGCAUGGCUCUGACUGCCAAAAGAUUUAUCGCUCUGAGAUGGACUCGCGUCUGAUUAGCUAGUUGGCAGGGUAACGGCCUACCAAAGCGACGAUCAGUAGCCGGCCUGAGAGGUGGACGGCCACAUUGGGGCUGAGACACGGCCCAAACUCCUACGGGAGGCAGCAGUGGGGGAUAUUGCACAAUGGGGAAACCCUGAUGCAGCGACGCCGCGUGAGUGAAGAAGCAUUCGGUGUGUAAAGCUCUAUCAGCAGGGAAG